RNAcentral lists this non-coding RNA (814 nucleotides) under Hospitalitermes hospitalis. Lineage: Eukaryota; Metazoa; Arthropoda; Insecta; Blattodea; Termitidae. The record is from RNAcentral.
AAGUUUUAUUCUUGCUUUAAUUUGUUCAAUUUUUGUUUGUUCUAUAUGUAAGUGAGUGCGUGAUUAAGCUUUAAGUUCUAGAUGGGGUUAGGGCAUAUAUGUGGUAUUUCUCAUUAGUUGUUAUUAGUUGAUCGAGUAUCCUUGUAUUUAGCAAUUCAUUUUAGUUUCGGUUAAAUUUUGUGCCAGCAGCCGCGGUUAUACCUUGGAGGCGUUUGAACAGGCUUGGUAUUAAAGGUAGUUAUAUGCUUAUUUUGUUUGAUUUUGUUUAGGUGGUUUGUGGGUGAAAUUUUUAUUAUUUCUAUUUAUCUUUUUUUGAUUUGGAGGCUAUGAAAUUUUAUUUGUAAACUAGGAUUAGAUACCCUAUUAUUUUAGAAUGUUAAUUUUGUGUACCUGAGUAGUAAUAGUUAUGUUCUUGAAACUUAAAGAAUUUGGCGGUAUUUCAUUCCGUCUAGAGGAAUCUGUCUCGUUAUCGAUAGUCCACGUUGGACCUUACUUAUAUUGAUUUGGUUUGUAUACCGCCGUUUAUUGAUUAUCUUUUUAGAGUUAUGUUAAUUUUCUGGUUUCUUUAUUUUGAUGAAUUUCAGGUCAAGGUGCAGCUUGUUUUUAAGUGGGAUGAUGGAUUACAUUAGUAUUUGUUUGUGGAUUGUUGGGUUUAAUACUGGCAUGAAAUUGGAUUUAGUUGUAAUAAUUUGUAGAUUGUUAUUAUGAUAGGUGGUUCUGGAAUAUGCACACAUCGCCCGUCGCUCUCGUUUUGUUUAUAUGAUGAGAUAAGUCGUAACAAAGUGGUUGUACCGGAAGGUGCGGCUGGAUUGAU